GUGUGCAAACACCUGCAGGGCAGCGGCCAGAGCCCUCGAGACUCAUUGAGCUCUGAGGAAACCCUUGGGAAGUCUCAGAUCUCGAGCCAGUCAGCCCUGGAGCAGAGCACCCCGGAGCCCAACAG
Agelaius phoeniceus (red-winged blackbird) is the source of this 125-nucleotide RNA transcript. It is a transcript of the gene named GRAM domain-containing protein 2A-like, with no coding region annotated. Lineage: Eukaryota; Metazoa; Chordata; Aves; Passeriformes; Icteridae. The record is from RefSeq and is a predicted model, not a curated record.